UACGUAGGCGGAAUAUUAAGUCAGUGGUGAAAUCCUGCAGCUUAACUGUAGAAUUGCCAUUGAUACUGAUCUUCUUGAAUUUAGUUGAGGUGGGCGGAAUGUGUAAUGUAGCGGUGAAAUGCUUAGAUAUUACACAGAACACCGAUCGCGAAGGCAGCUCACUAAACUAACAUUGACGCUAAGGUACGAAAGCGUGGGGAGCGAACAGGAUUAGAUACCCUGGUAGUCC
This 229-nucleotide ribosomal RNA is filed under the name uncultured bacterium. RNAcentral's name for it is "partial 16S ribosomal RNA". It matches the Rfam family "Bacterial small subunit ribosomal RNA", at positions 568 to 796 of the family's 1533-position model. The record is from RNAcentral.